CUUCAGGCUCCUUCUCCCCCUCUGCCCCUUCCUCCCCGCCCUGGAGGAUUUCUUUCUUUUCCUCAGCCCCUUGACCAGGCUGCUCUCCUUCCAUCAUUUCUUGGGCUUUUAUAGGGCUCGUCUUCCUGUUGGCUUCUUCUCCUUCAUUGGCUACGUCGGCUGUGUUAUCCGUGGCGUUCUCAAACUUGGUUUCUGAGAAUUGUGUCUCACUCUUUUCGGUAGGGUUACUUUUCUCAGCAGAUAAUGAUUUCUUCUUUUCGUAACCUUCUGACCCUUCUUCUUUUGGAAGUUCCUCAGUCAGUUCUUGGUCUUUGCUCUUUGCGACCCCUUCAAUCACCAGCCAUAAGGCUUUGCCGUGGUCCAGGAGCUCAUCACCUUCAGGAGUCUUCACACCUAAAGUCUGCUCAUCUUCUGUGGCCAGAAGCUGAUCAAAUUCUGCUCCUGAGGUCAGCUCGCCUUCUGUUCCUGAGGUCACCUGGCCUUCUAGCGUGGAGGCCAGCUCCUCUUCUGCCCCUGGAGUCACCUGGCCUUCUGGCCCAGAGGUCAGCUCGUCUUCUGCCACUGAGGCCUGCGGGCCUUCUGCCUCUGAGGUCAGCUCACCUUCUGCCGCUGAGGCCUGCUGGCCUUCUGCCUCUGAGGUCAGCUCACCUUCUGCCGCUGAGGCCUGCUGGCCUUCUGCCUCUGAGGCCAGCUCCUCUUCUGCUCCUGGGGUCACCUGGUCUUCUGGCCCAGAGGUCAGCUCGCCUUCUGCCCCUGAGGCCUGCUGGCCUUCUGCCUCUGAGGUCAGCUCACCUUCUGCUCCUGAGGCCUGCUGGCCUUCUGCCUCUGAGGUCAGCUCACCUUCUGCUCCUGAGGCCUGCUGGCCUGCCUCUGAGGUCAGCUCACCUUCUGCUCCUGAGGCCUGCUGGCCUUCUGCCUCUGAGGUCAACUCCCCUUCUGCCCCUGAAGUUUGCUGGCCUUCUGCCUCUGAGGUCAACUGGCCUUCUGGCCCUGAGAUCUGCUGGCCUUCUUGCCCUGAGGUCGGCUGGCCUUCUACUUCUGAGGUCAGAUCCUCUUCUGCCUCUGAGGUCGGCUGAUCUUCUGAGGUUUGCGGGGCUUCUGGCCCAGAGGUCUCCUCCCCUUCUACUCCUGAGAUCUCCUCACCUUGGGCCUCUAAGAUCUCCUCACCUUGGGCCUCUAAAAUCUGCUUGCCUUCUGUCUCUGAGGUCUCUGCUUCUACCCCUGAAGUGUGCUUGCUUUCUGACUCCGAGGUCUCCUCCUGUACCACUGGGGUCUGCUGGCCUGACUUUGAAGACCGCCUGCUUUCUGCCCUUGAGGGCCGCUUGCUUUCUGCCCCUGAGGGCCGCUUGCUUUCUGUUCCUGAGGGCCUCCUGCUUUCCCCAAGCGAGGGCUUCCUGCUUUCCCCAAGUGAGGGCCGCCUGCUUUCCAAGAGUGAGGGCCGCCUGCUUUCCGUACCGGAGGGCCGCCUGCUUUUGUGGGAGGGCUUCCUGCUU
RNAcentral lists this long non-coding RNA (1493 nucleotides) under Sarcophilus harrisii (Tasmanian devil). RNAcentral's name for it is "lncRNA (ENSSHAG00000002773.2)". Lineage: Eukaryota; Metazoa; Chordata; Mammalia; Dasyuromorphia; Dasyuridae. The record is from RNAcentral.